This is a long non-coding RNA of Galleria mellonella (greater wax moth), 1010 nucleotides long. RefSeq lists it as uncharacterized. The record is from RefSeq and is a predicted model, not a curated record. NCBI's taxonomy places the organism in Eukaryota, Metazoa, Arthropoda, Insecta, Lepidoptera, Pyralidae. The transcript has 3 exons.
GUUAUACUCUAUAUAUACUUUUGUAUGUGUGUUUUUAUACACAUUAUUUUAUCAGACAAUGUAAUUAUAUUUAAGUACUAGAAGUUAGAAUAUUUUAAAAUGCAUAAUCUUGCAUUCAGAAAAAAAUAAAUAAAAAAAUAUACACACAAUAGACGAAGUUGUAAAAUGCAGGAUAAACCGUGUAAUUAGUUUUCAAUUUUUAAUGAAUCCUGUGAAGUCGCUGUAAUGUCAUAUCGUCCAUUGGAUGGAAUACCUACCAGACAAGUAAUAGGGAAAACCGCAUUUCCCCUUCAUUGAUUUUUUAGUAAAGAGCUUUGUAAAACCCUUCCUUUAGAGACAUACGUCUUGUUUACUGUAUGUUGGCAAAUGUCCAAUUGACAUAUGUUUUGUGUUAAUUUUUUUAGGGAACAAAGAAAACAGAAGUAAUAAAAUAAUAGUUAAAAAAUACAUACUUAAUAUAUCAAUUAAUUGGUAACAAAAAAUUAUUCAACCUUAAAUUAAAACCUUUUUGACUGGACAUUUCUUCUCCUCCAACUAUUUGAAAAACAAAACAAUUACUUCUUUCACCAACACAAUCGUAAAGGACUGAAGGUUUUACAUCGAUGUACGAGUAGGCGCCAAGUUUUGAAGGACGGUUCGCAUCCACAUUUAUGCCAUUGUGCCAAGGCCAAUAGCAACGGAGCUAUUAACAUAACAUGCUUUAGACCGGCGUCCAUGCUUUUAAUGUACCAAUGUAAACAGCAUCUAUAAACGGGACAGCAUAGAGGAAGAGAUUAUUAGUAACAGAGACAAGCAAUGGGGUCGCCAUUGCUAGCAAUAUACUCCCGUCAAGUCAACCUCCAUCGCUUCUAGAAAUCAUCGUGGCGAAUUCUUAAUGAAUUCGUAAGGAUAGUCCAACUGACUUGCUUUCAUUCUCAUCUGUCUUUCCUUACCGAUGGUUCACCAGCAUGUACUGAUGGCAGGCGAAGUUACCAAUUCAUUAUUAUUCAUUAAAAAAAAUUAUUAGCGUA